This 113-nucleotide ribosomal RNA is filed under the name Meriones unguiculatus (Mongolian gerbil). Lineage: Eukaryota; Metazoa; Chordata; Mammalia; Rodentia; Muridae. The record is from RNAcentral.
GUCUCCACCCAUACCACUCUGAAUGCACCUAAUCUCCUCUGAUCUUGGCAGCUAAGCAGUGUCCGGUCUGGUUAGUACUUAGAAGACGCAUCUUGAAUCAGGGCACUGAGCUU